GUGCUUGUUUUGACAGCACAUAUGCUAAAAUUGGAAUGAUACAGAGAAUAUUAGUGUGGCCCUUCCACAAGGAUGACUCACAAAGUGGUUAAGCAUUCCAUAUUUUU
Molecule: small nuclear RNA, 107 nt
Filed under: Chinchilla lanigera (long-tailed chinchilla)
Lineage: Eukaryota; Metazoa; Chordata; Mammalia; Rodentia; Chinchillidae
Source: RNAcentral